Long non-coding RNA from Xyrauchen texanus (razorback sucker), 2303 nucleotides. RefSeq lists it as uncharacterized. The transcript has 4 exons. The record is from RefSeq and is a predicted model, not a curated record. Lineage: Eukaryota; Metazoa; Chordata; Actinopteri; Cypriniformes; Catostomidae.
GUAAGUUUCGUUUUUGCGAAUGUCUUUUUUUAACAAUACAGUUGAAGUAAGAAGGUAAGAUCCAGCGGAUCACAGAAUGUGAGGAAUGUAACACAAACUCCAAGAAUAAGACUUGAGAAGCCCGACUUCCAGAAAAGCAGAUACUACUUCUCCAAACAGGAGUAGGAAAACAAGGGUGUGUGGCAUAUAAUAAAAAUACUUGUAUUUGUGAAAUUACAUUUAAACAAUGCAAUCAGUCUUUUGUGUAUAAUACAGCAAAUCUCUCUCCUUGGAGCAUCAGAUUGGAGGGAAAUUCACACAAAGGAAAUUCUGUGGAGUUGCUUCCCAGGUCAGUGUCAAUCCACAGAAGUUAUCCCAGACUAUAACUGUGAGAAACUUUCCCUGAACAGAGCCCUUUUUCUGAGGUAUCUGUCUUGAAGGCAGAGGGACAAUGUGACAGACUUUGUAUUGGUCUGAGGCAGGGGGACUCCAGAAGGGUAAGGCCUUCUUCCACUGCGGCCUGAAGAUGAGCCAUGCCAGAAGCCUGCAGUACAGCAACAGAAGUACAAACAAAUGGAACUUCCCGGGUGACUUGUGUGCUGAGACCACAAUACUGUGAGGAGCACUGUUUUGGGAAGGAAACACAUGCACGUUUUUCAACAGAUCCACUUUCAGUCUUUUCCCCCUCACAGAUGGAUCUGCAUGGAGCCAUUCAGGACAAGGAGAGAGGUAUGAAUUCCUCUUCCUCUUUUUUGGUGGAACCGCUAGGCCUCUCCAGUUUUCAACAGCGUCUUCAUAUGUUGGAUGGAUGUUUGUGACAUUGUCAGAUUUCCCAGAACAGGAGUUACACUGCAAGUUGUGAACAAAUUUGCAUGUCGCAAUGAAUCAUUCCACCCGAAUAGGCAAGUUUUCAUGCUUGGAAAAGGCCACGUUUGAAGUUUUUGAACUCUGCUUCAACAUUGACUAAACUUGCGGUGAUGUUGGUGCUUCGAAAGUGAGGGAUCAUUACCCCUGUCCAGAGUGGUCUGUCUGUGUUUGGUCACAUGGAUCCACUUCCAUGUCCUCAUCCUCUACAUCUGGAAUGAUGACACACUCUUCUGCAAUUCUGACUUUCAGGUAUUUCUUGCACCUUUCUGAUAUGAGGGGGGCUUCAGAACUGUCAUUGCCCUCUGCUUCGCUGAGAGCCACAACAGUAAUACUGCGCAGUACUCUUUUGCAUCGUCCAUGGAAUGUGACAUGAGAAGCUGUGCCAUUGACCUCACAAAGAAAUCUUUAAUGCAAUGUGUUUUUUUUCUUCAAGCAGUUCCAAUGGCAGAUUAAACAAGGUGGCACUUUUGCUGACUGUUUACAGAUUAAGACACCACAACACUCAUUGAUGUAGGUAUUUAGAUCAGGAUGAGGAGUAAAAGCCUUGACCAGAGCUCCGAGCAAAGCCAGAGAAAAGUCACUCACAACCUCUUUUGGAGUUGGUGCACCUGCGCGUAUCCAUUCUGUAAGCCAAAGUGUUAUUGCAUUAAUAUUGUGUCUCUCUGACAGCAUUUGCACCUCUGGGACACUUGAGCUCUCAUCCCCUGCCAGAAUGCCCUGAUAUAAGAAUAUAUGGCCAGACUUGCCAUUUGGUCUCUGUAGUUUCCUCACUGCCAGUUGCAUCAAAACUCACAGUGGGGUUAGUAGAUGUCUUUUUACAUAUACAUUUGUGUUUGACUCCAAUAGUGACAGAAAAACUUGUCCAGUCCAAUGUCUUUAAUGUGACCACUGUGCGGUGCACUGUAUUUUAACAUCUGCUGUGACACAAUGGGAUCCUUGUCGCCUAAUUCUAAAUAAAUUCUCUCUUGUUUUGCUUUGUGCAGGGUGGCCAAAUUAGGCAGAUGACUUGGCUCAGGAUCUCCAAAAUCCAUCAGCUUUGUUUCCUCUGAUGCCCUCCAUACAUGGGGUUCCAUUCUACCCUUACACAGUUCUUUGGCUAUCUGCUAUGCAAGUUACUAGAGUAAGCACACUUGGAACAGCCAGUGUGCAGGGAGUCAUCAGUGUUUUUAAAUAAACACUUGAACACCGUUGGGAUGUUCAUUUCAGGCACUCUGUCACAUUUUCUGUGAAUGUGGCCACGACACUCCUUACAGUUGCCUCUGAUUUCUAUGUAUUUCUCUGUGGCCUGUGGAUGAACACAGGACUGUGAAAAUGGAAUCUCUGUCAACUUCUGGUUUCUUGGGCAUCUGCCAUAAGCAAAACAUAAUUACCCACUUAAAUAAUCCUGACUCAAAAAAUGUCAUGUUCAGUAUAAAGUUGUUUUCAUUUCUGUAUUGGUCUGAAUAUAAGGAUAAUAU